GACGAACGCUGGCGGCGUGCUUAACACAUGCAAGUCGAACGGAAAGGCCCUGCUUUUGUGGGGUGCUCGAGUGGCGAACGGGUGAGUAAUGCGUGAGUAACCUGCCCUUGACUUUGGGAUAACUUCAGGAAACUGGGGCUAAUACCGGAUAGGAGCUCCUGCUGCAUGGUGGGGGUUGGAAAGUUUCGGCGGUUGGGGAUGGACUCGCGGCUUAUCAGCUUGUUGGUGGGGUAGUGGCUUACCAAGGCUUUGACGGGUAGCCGGCCUGAGAGGGUGACCGGCCACAUUGGGACUGAGAUACGGCCCAGACUCCUACGGGAGGCAGCAGUGGGGAAUAUUGCACAAUGGGCGGAAGCCUGAUGCAGCAACGCCGCGUGCGGGAUGACGGCCUUCGGGUUGUAAACCGCUUUCGCCUGUGACGAAGCGUGAGUGACGGUAAUGGGUAAAGAAGCACCGGCUAACUACGUG
Molecule: ribosomal RNA, 468 nt
Filed under: uncultured bacterium
Lineage: Bacteria
Description: partial 16S ribosomal RNA
Rfam family: Bacterial small subunit ribosomal RNA
Source: RNAcentral